UCUCCCUCUCUCGUUUUGUUAUUUCCUUUUGCGCUAUUUUGAAUGUAAUAGUCGAACAAAUGGCGAUCCUGUAGCCUAAGUGUAUGGUAUAUUAAUGAUCUUGAUAAUGCAACAAAAAAGCUAAAAGCGCGAGAGACUUGAAACUUUAAUCAUUUGAAGCUGAAAGUGACGCUGUUAACGAUCUUGAAUGAAGAGCAAAUGCGAAAUAUGCCGUAUCCAGUCUGCAGAUCUGGUCCUGUGGGCGUCAGUAUCACACAGUGAUCACAGUUCACACCUGCAGUGAAGCCCCUCCCACAACAAUUCACCAAUAAAUACUGGGAAUAUUCCCAUCAUCCUUCAAGAGAAGGACAAACUCCAGGAGUAGCAGCUGAAAUCUGUGCGACUGUUAAAGAUGGAGUUUAUUAAAGAGGAGAUUAAAGAGGAGAUGGAGUUUAUUAAAGAGGAGAUGGAGUUUAUUAAAGUGAAAAUUGAAGACAUGGCUGAUCCAGAACCAUCCAGAAUAAAACAUGAAGAUACUGAGGAACAAAUAGACCAGCUGGAAGUGAAGGAGCAAAGACAGACGCUAAAUGACGAAAAGAAACACUGCGACUUCAAAACUCAAGAAACAAAAGCCAAAAAGCUGCACUCCUGCUCUCAGUGUGGAAAGAGGUUUUCUAAAGCAUCCGGUCUCAGUGUUCAUCUGCUCCAUCACUCUGGAGAAAAACCAUUUAACUGUGAUCAGUGUGGGAAAUAUUUUGUUUCGUCAUCAAAUCUAAACCGACACAUGAAAGUUCAUUCAGGUGUGAAGCCUUAUGUGUGUUCUCUCUGUGGAAAGAGUUUUUCACAACUGAAUAGUUUUAAACAUCACCAGAAAACACAUGAUGAAGUGAGAGAUCAUGUGUGUUGUGACUGUGGAAAGAGCUUUACUAGAUCUGUUUAUCUGAAACAGCACCAAAUAAUUCAUACUGGAGAAAAACCUUACAAGUGCUCAGUUUGUAAUAAGAGUUUUGCUCAAUCCGGACACCUGAAAGAACACGGGAGAGUUCAUACUAGAGAGAGGCCGCACUACUGUACUCAGUGUGAGAAGACUUUCAAAGCUGCAAAAAGUUUAAAAUGUCAUCUCCGCGUUCACUCUGGAGAAAAACCAUUUAACUGUGAUCAGUGUGGGAAAAAGUUCAUUUUGUCAAGACAUCUGAAAAGUCACAUGAUCGUUCAUUCAGAUGAGAAGCCUUAUGUGUGUUCUCUCUGUGGAAAGAGUUUUUCACGGCUGUUCAGUUUUAAACUGCACCAGAAAAUACACAAUGAAGUGAAAGAUCAUGUGUGUUGUGACUGUGGGAAGAGCUUUACCAGAGCUGACUAUCUGAAACAGCACCAAAGAACUCAUAUUGGAGAAAAACCUUACAAGUGCUCAGAUUGUGACAAGAGUUUUGCUUUGCCUGGAUCUCUGAAAGUACAUGAGCGACUUCAUACCGGAGAGAAGCCGUACCACUGUACUCAGUGUGAAAAGACUUUUAACCAUUUAGCAAGCCUUUACAAUCAUAGGAAAAAAUGUUUCAAGUGACCAACAUUUGUUUUCAUGUCAAAUACAAUAAAGUAAAUUGAGAUAAAAUAUGGAGUUUUUCAUAAAAGCACUAUAUCAAAUAGAUAGAUUGGGUUAAUUUGAUGUAAAGAUUGGUUAACUGGAACGAUUUAAAGGGUUACUUAAGCCAAUAAUGAAAAUUCUGUCAUUAAUUACUGACCCUCAUGUUGUUCCAAACCUGUAAGACAAAACACAAAUGAAGAUCUUUACAGCCUAGCUGUUCAUGGCGCUGCUCUGAAUAAGGUCUAGUUCCCUGUUUUCACCUCAUUAAUUAUGGUGAAGUCAUUAGUGUCAACAGGCUGAGGCAACCGCCAAUGCUAUUAUUAUGGAGAAAACUGAUCCUAGACCAGCAGCAAUCAAAAGCCACAGCAGGCAGUGGUUUGAGUUAGAAAUAUUGUCCAGCCUUACACACACACACACACACACACACAAAUUAUUUACCUUUGUGUUUUUUUUUCUUGUUCUGUUUACUGACUUUUAUUUUCUGACUAAUUAUGUUUUAAUGAAACUGAUGGCUGACAAUAAAUCACAUUUAACAUUGAGGUCCAACUUAAUUUACCAAGAUCCGCUCACUUUAAAGUUUCUGGCCUUGCAACUGCUGUAGAUAUCUAUUCAUGUAGGCUCUUCAAAAGAAACCCCUAUAAUUAGGCUGCAAUAACAUAAUAAGGGAGACAUGUAAAAACAACACUGAAACUGUAAUCGAUUCAAGCUGAAUCUAUUAUAAAUUAUUAUUAUAAUAGUGGAUUUGGUCCAUAACUGUGCGAAGAUGUGAUUUACUGAAUGCGGCUCCUUUAAGAAAUAUGACACCGCGCGCACUGAGCAUGCGCAGAAGAAAGAAUUGCGAUAGCCUCUCUAUUAUAGUUUUGUUUUCUUUCUUCUCUCCCUCUCUUUUUGUUGUUUCCUUUAACGCUAUUAUGAAUAUAACACUUGUUGCAUUAAAGAAGAGAAAAGAGACGAUCGAGCGCUGAAACUUUAACCAUUUGAAGCUGAAAGUGACGCGUUAACGAUCAUGAAUGAAGAGCAAAUGUGAAAUAUUUUUUUCCAAAUGCCGCAUUUUUCCAGUCUGCAGAAAUAGCGGCUGAAAUCUGUGAGACUGUUAAAGAUGGAGUUUAUUAAAGAGGAGAUUAAGACAUGACUGAUCCAGAACCAUCCAGAAUAAAACAUGAAGAUACUGAGGAACAAAUAGACCAGCUGGAAGUGACGGAACAAAGACAGAAACUAAAUUACGUAAAGAAACACUGUGACUUCAAAACUCAAGAAACAAAAGCCAAUAAGCUGCACUCCUGCUCUCAGUGUGGAAAGAGUUUCCAAAAGAAAGGAAACCUUAAGAGACACAUGAGAAUUCACACUGGAGAGAAACCGUAUCCAUGCACUCAGUGUGAGAAGAGUUUUACUCAAGCAUCAACUCUCAGUAAACAUCUGCGCCGU
Non-coding RNA from Pimephales promelas (fathead minnow), 2986 nucleotides. The record is from RefSeq and is a predicted model, not a curated record. Lineage: Eukaryota; Metazoa; Chordata; Actinopteri; Cypriniformes; Leuciscidae.